GUUCAUGUUAAAAUGAAGUGAGAUUAGGGUUCUAAGAGAGAGCAGUCAAAUAUUUGAGUACUAAUAAUGCCUGGGUGUCUGUUAUUACUUUUGAGGCAGUGAAAUUCUUUUGGCUUCAGGAAUUACACUGCAAACAUUUAAUGUGAAUGUGGACAGAAAAGAAUACAAUUAGGACCAGGGAAGCCUUAGAAGUAUCUGUGGGAACACAAUGGUCUGGAGGGAGGGGGCUCUGCCAGAGCUCCCUGGAGCUGGGAAUGGAAGUGCUUACAAUUGAGUAGGGAAGAAAGAUAUAUAAGAAGACAAAAUAUAGAGG
Molecule: long non-coding RNA, 313 nt
Organism: Orcinus orca (killer whale)
Lineage: Eukaryota; Metazoa; Chordata; Mammalia; Artiodactyla; Delphinidae
Exons: 3
Source: RefSeq, a predicted model, not a curated record